GCCUAGCCCAGGUUGAAACGGCAUCCUUUUCUUGCUUUCUUUAAGCAAGGAAAGAUAAAGUGUAAAGCUGGAAAAUGC
Molecule: small RNA, 78 nt
Filed under: Flavobacterium degerlachei
Lineage: Bacteria; Pseudomonadati; Bacteroidota; Flavobacteriia; Flavobacteriales; Flavobacteriaceae
Description: Flavo-1 RNA
Rfam family: Flavo-1 RNA
Source: RNAcentral